AUCUGCUGUCGACCAAGCGAAUACGUCGGCAUUGGCUCUUAGCAGCUCCACCAACCGUCAUCGGUCUGGGUCGGGUAGUUGAGACCCGACCCAUACCUUUCGAUCGGGAUCCCCAGCCAUCAGGAUGGGGAUGAGCUGUUCAGCCAGUUCACCCCGUUCCUCCUCCUCUCGCGGGUCUAGCUUGUCGAUCGUCAGGGGGCCCUUCAAUUCGUCGCCCUGAGCGGAGAUCUGGAAGCAUCGUCGAGUGAGCUGUUGAUUUUCGUGCAUCUCUCCGACUCCAUUUUUGGUCGGGAACCGAACCAAGAGGUGGUACGUCGAGAUAAUCGCCUUGAGGGCGUUUAGUCCGGGUCUUCCGAGUAUGGCGUUGUAGGCCGAAGGCAACUGGACGACCGCAAAUGUUAAAU
This 404-nucleotide long non-coding RNA is filed under the name Elaeis guineensis (African oil palm). RNAcentral describes it as "long non-coding RNA (EGUI_LNC074582)". The record is from RNAcentral. Lineage: Eukaryota; Viridiplantae; Streptophyta; Magnoliopsida; Arecales; Arecaceae.